AAUCUUUACAAUGCGGGAAACCGCGAUAAGGGGAUACUGAGUGCCAGCAUAUUAUGUUGGCUGUCCACCUGUAUAAACAGCAGGUGUUAGCAAGGGCCGGGCAAGACCGGUGCCAGCCGCCGCGGUAACACCGGCGGCCCGAGUGGUGGCCACUAUUAUUGGGUCUAAAGGGUCCGUAGCCGGUUUGAUCAGUCUUCCGGGAAAUCUGACAGCUCAACUGUUAGGCUUCUGGGGGAUACUGUCAGACUUGGGACCGGGAGAGGUAAGAGGUACUACAGGGGUAGGAGUGAAAUCUUGUAAUCCUUGUGGGACCACCAGUGGCGAAGGCGUCUUACCAGAACGGGUCCGACGGUGAGGGACGAAAGCUGGGGGCACGAACCGGAUUAGAUACCCGGGUAGUCCCAGCCGUAAACGAUGCUCGCUAGGUGUCUGGGACGGUGCGACCGUUUCAGGUGCCGCAGGGAAGCCGUGAAGCGAGCCACCUGGGAAGUACGGNNNNAAGGCUGAAACUUAA
Molecule: ribosomal RNA, 514 nt
Filed under: uncultured archaeon
Lineage: Archaea
Description: bacterial SSU rRNA
Rfam family: Archaeal small subunit ribosomal RNA
Source: RNAcentral